RNAcentral lists this ribosomal RNA (506 nucleotides) under uncultured bacterium. Its description in RNAcentral is "bacterial SSU rRNA". It matches the Rfam family "Bacterial small subunit ribosomal RNA", at positions 28 to 545 of the family's 1533-position model. The record is from RNAcentral.
GAUGAACGCUGGCGGCGUGCCUAACACAUGCAAGUCGAACGGACCCAUACGGAAGCCUAGCGAAGUAUGGGUUAGUGGCGGACGGGUGAGUAACGCGUGGGCAACCUGCCCCGUACCGGGGGAUAACACUUAGAAAUAGGUGCUAAAACCGCAUAAGCGCACAGGACCGCAUGGUCCGGUGUGAAAAACUCCGGUGGUACGGGAUGGGCCCGCGUCUGAUUAGCCAGUUGGCAGGGUGACGGCCUACCAAAGCGACGAUCAGUAGCCGGCCUGAGAGGGUGGACGGCCACAUUGGGACUGAGACACGGCCCAGACUCCUACGGGAGGCAGCAGUGGGGGAUAUUGCACAAUGGGGGAAACCCUGAUGCAGCGACGCCGCGUGAGUGAAGAAGUAUUUCGGUAUGUAAAGCUCUAUCAGCAGGGAAGAAAAUGACGGUACCUGACUAAGAAGCCCCGGCUAACUACGUGCCAGCAGCCGCGGUAAUACGUAGGGGGCAAGCGUUAUC